UCAGGAUCUUGCACCUCAUCCUCUAAAUCACUGGACUGAACUGCUAAAGUAUCAAUAUCAAGCUCCACCUAUUCUUUGACACCGUGAUCUAAUUCUGCUAUUGACUUCUCCCUUUGACUAUCCAAUGAAGUAGACUCACGAUUGUAAAAUUUCAACCCAUUAUCAGUUCUAAGAUGCUUGACCUUUUUUUGUCUGUUUCUCAAUCAUCGUCUUCCACUUU
RNAcentral lists this unclassified non-coding RNA (220 nucleotides) under Hevea brasiliensis (rubber tree). Lineage: Eukaryota; Viridiplantae; Streptophyta; Magnoliopsida; Malpighiales; Euphorbiaceae. The record is from RNAcentral.